ACUGAACGCUGGCGGCAUGCCUUACACAUGCAAGUCGAACGGCAGCGCGGGCUUCGGCCUGGCGGCGAGUGGCGGACGGGUGAGUAAUGCAUCGGAACGUGCCCACGAGUGGGGGAUAACGUAGCGAAAGUUACGCUAAUACCGCAUACGUAAUGAGGUUGAAAGCGGGGGAUUGAAAGACCUCGCGCUCAAGGAGCGGCCGAUGUCGGAUUAGCUAGUUGUGGGGUAAAACCGCACCAAGGCGACGAUCCGUAGCUGGUCUGGGGGGACGACCAGCCAGACUGGGACUGAGACACGUCCCAGACUCCUACGGGAGGCAGCAGUGGGGAAUCUUGGACAAUGGGGGAAACCCUGAUCCAGCAAUGCCGCGUGUGGGAUGAAGGCCCUCGGGUUGUAAACCACUUUUGGCAGGAAAGAAAUCGCCUGUGCUACUACCACGGGCGGAUGACGGUACCUGCAGAAUAAGCACCGGCUAACUACGUGCCAGCAGCCGCCGUAA
RNAcentral lists this ribosomal RNA (499 nucleotides) under uncultured bacterium. Its description in RNAcentral is "partial 16S ribosomal RNA". It matches the Rfam family "Bacterial small subunit ribosomal RNA", at positions 30 to 523 of the family's 1533-position model. The record is from RNAcentral.